CCCCUGUGUAUGUGGGUGCCCACCAGGUUAAAUUCUUGGCAAAAAGAUAAUAAACUGGUACUGGUAAUGUGUUAAAUUGACAAGCUAAUUUAACAUCCUUUGAUGUUGUAUGAUAUAAUGUAAAAUAGCAUGAGCAUGAAAAAUGUGAAACAUUACCAGUUAACCAUCCAUUGCAUUUACUGGAUUGGGGUUUUAGAAGUAACCAAUCAUUAUCUGUGAGGUUACACAUUCCUCUAAUCUUCUCUAGUUUAGGAAUCAUUAGUGUGUUUUCUAAUGCCAAUCCUUGUUGUUGUAUCCAUAAAUACCUGAUGGCACAAGUACUCCAGUUACUUAGACCUCUAGUGAAUUUCAUAGUUGCAACAGUUAAAUUAUCUAAAUAAUUAUACAUUGAUUUAUCUAAAUCCAAUCCUCUAACCUGUGAUUUAACAACAAUUGGAGCCCAAUUUGCAGUAGCAUGAAAACCAGUCCCUAUAUGCAUGCUGGCUGUGUUUAACUUAUUCUUGAGGGUCUCCAUAUCUAUAACUAUUUAGUAUACCCAUAGUGGUUCCAGCACCUCCUAACAGUGUGUCAUACCAUUCCCUUUUCUGCCUUUGUUUGUUGUAUUACAUAAUGUUACAACAGGAGUAGUGAUUUUUAAUGACACAUGUACAGCUUGUAAGAAGGCAGUUGUAUUAAUACAUGUGGACGAAAUAGGUGUGUGUGUGUGUCGUGUUUGACUUUUGGUUCUAUGGUAGUGGAUAAAGGACAGUAAUAAGGUGUAAAAAUAUAAGGUAGUGUAUAGUUCUCAAUUGCAGUGUCGUUCAUAAUGACUAACAUUUGUCCCCUUCUCCAAUUAAUGAUACCAAUUAUAUAAUCAUUAUUAAAAGUAAUAAGGCCUGUCUAUUUACAUUGAUAUGCAACCUUAACUGUGCACAUUUCUGCGUUAUAAGAUCUAACAAUUUUCUGUGAACCUUUAAACAAACAUAAUGCAUCGGUUUCAUUAGCUGUAGACACAUUUCAUAUGGGUAACUGGUACUUAUAAGGGUUACUAUUUGUCCAAUUCAUCCAAAUGCGUUCAGUGAAUGAAUGAUUGCAUAUUGCAUGCUGAUAGAAAGGUGGUGGAGAAAGGUUCUUGAGGGGGCGUGUGUGACGAAUGCUAGAUGAGGGGCUAAGGCCUAAUUGGGCUGGGGGUAUUGAAGAAUUGUUCAUCAUGUCAGAGUCUUUUUCCAGAACUUGCCAUUGACUUGUACUCAUAAUGGCAUUCAAGGAACAAUAUCAGAGGGAGUAUAACAACUCCAGAAAGCAUAGCGCACAACAUAAU
This is a non-coding RNA of Pelobates cultripes (western spadefoot toad), 1300 nucleotides long. NCBI's taxonomy places the organism in Eukaryota, Metazoa, Chordata, Amphibia, Anura, Pelobatidae. The record is from the annotation of a GenBank genome assembly.